This 717-nucleotide ribosomal RNA is filed under the name uncultured bacterium. Its description in RNAcentral is "bacterial SSU rRNA". It matches the Rfam family "Bacterial small subunit ribosomal RNA", at positions 28 to 740 of the family's 1533-position model. The record is from RNAcentral.
AUUGAACGCUGGCGGAAUGCUUUACACAUGCAAGUCGAACGGCAGCACGGGGGCAACCCUGGUGGCGAGUGGCGAACGGGUGAGUAAUAUAUCGGAACGUGCCCAGUCGUGGGGGAUAACGUAGCGAAAGUUACGCUAAUACCGCAUACGAUCUACGGAUGAAAGCGGGGGAUCGCAAGACCUCGCGCGAUUGGAGCGGCCGAUAUCAGAUUAGGUAGUUGGUGAGGUAAAGGCUCACCAAGCCAACGAUCUGUAGCUGGUCUGAGAGGACGACCAGCCACACUGGGACUGAGACACGGCCCAGACUCCUACGGGAGGCAGCAGUGGGGAAUUUUGGACAAUGGGCGCAAGCCUGAUCCAGCCAUUCCGCGUGCAGGACGAAGGCCUUCGGGUUGUAAACUGCUUUUGUACGGAACGAAAAAGCCUUGGCUAAUACCCAGGGUCCAUGACGGUACCGUAAGAAUAAGCACCGGCUAACUACGUGCCAGCAGCCGCGGUAAUACGUAGGGUGCAAGCGUUAAUCGGAAUUACUGGGCGUAAAGCGUGCGCAGGCGGUUAUAUAAGACAGAUGUGAAAUCCCCGGGCUCAACCUGGGAACUGCAUUUGUGACUGUAUAGCUAGAGUGCGGCAGAGGGGGAUGGAAUUCCGCGUGUAGCAGUGAAAUGCGUAGAUAUGCGGAGGAACACCGAUGGCGAAGGCAAUCCCCUGGGCCUGCAC